RNAcentral lists this ribosomal RNA (254 nucleotides) under uncultured bacterium. RNAcentral's name for it is "partial 16S ribosomal RNA". It matches the Rfam family "Bacterial small subunit ribosomal RNA", at positions 524 to 776 of the family's 1533-position model. The record is from RNAcentral.
UACGUAGGGUGCGAGCGUUGUCCGGAAUUACUGGGCGUAAAGCGCACGUAGGCGGCUUUGUAAGUUAGAGGUGAAAGCCCCAGGGCUCAACCCUGGAAUUGCCUUUAAGACUGCAUCGCUUGAACAUCGGAGAGGUAAGUGGAAUUCCGAGUGUAGAGGUGAAAUUCGUAGAUAUUCGGAAGAACACCAGUGGCGAAGGCGACUUACUGGACGAUUGUUGACGCUGAGGUGCGAAAGCGUGGGGAGCAAACAGG